CGUACACUCCUACGGGAGGCAGCAGUGAGGAAUAUUGGACAAUGGGUGGAAGCCUGAUCCAGCCAUCCCGCGUGCAGGAAGACGGCCCUAUGGGUUGUAAACUGCUUUUAUCUGGGGAUAAACCUACUUACGUGUAAGUAGCUGAAGGUACCAGAAGAAUAAGCACCGGCUAACUCCGUGCCAGCAGCCGCGGUAAUACGGAGGGUGCAAGCGUUAUCCGGAUUUAUUGGGUUUAAAGGGUCCGUAGGCGGACUGAUAAGUCAGUGGUGAAAUCCGACAGCUUAACUGUCGAACUGCCAUUGAUACUGUUAGUCUUGAGUAAGGUUGAAGUGGCUGGAAUAAGUAGUGUAGCGGUGAAAUGCAUAGAUAUUACUUAGAACACCAAUUGCGAAGGCAGGUCACUAAGUCUUAACUGACGCUGAUGGACGAAAGCGUGGGUAGCGAACAGGAUUAGAUACCCUUGUAGUCCCAUGA
This 474-nucleotide ribosomal RNA is filed under the name uncultured organism. Its description in RNAcentral is "partial 16S ribosomal RNA". It matches the Rfam family "Bacterial small subunit ribosomal RNA", at positions 330 to 800 of the family's 1533-position model. The record is from RNAcentral.